AUUCACCAUGUGGUGAAUGAACACACAUGGACACUGAGACAUUGUGAACAUGACUGCCUGUGGGACAACCACACCAAGGAAUGGAUAAAAAAGGGCUCUCCAGCACAUCAGGCUUUCACAGACAUCAUCCUCAACACAAGGUGGCUGAAGGAUCUUCAUAAAUACCUGAACUUCAGAUCAACAGCUGAUCUUGAGACCUACCAGAACAAUAUUCUGAUGUACGCCAACAAGCGUUUUUCCUUUUCCCCACCAGUCUGAGGCCAGAACACUGCUUCAAGGCCUGAAGCGUUGGGUGAAACUCGAGACCAUGCAGGAGCUACAGAAACCUCCUCCAGCUCAGCAACCCUGUGAGAAACCCAGGU
This is a long non-coding RNA of Coregonus clupeaformis (lake whitefish), 362 nucleotides long. RefSeq lists it as uncharacterized. The transcript has 3 exons. Lineage: Eukaryota; Metazoa; Chordata; Actinopteri; Salmoniformes; Salmonidae. The record is from RefSeq and is a predicted model, not a curated record.